RNAcentral lists this ribosomal RNA (510 nucleotides) under uncultured bacterium. Its description in RNAcentral is "partial 16S ribosomal RNA". It matches the Rfam family "Bacterial small subunit ribosomal RNA", at positions 28 to 507 of the family's 1533-position model. The record is from RNAcentral.
GACGAACGCUGGCGGCGUGCUUAACACAUGCAAGUCGAACGAAGAGCGAUGGAAGCUUGCUUCUAUCAAUCUUAGUGGCGAACGGGUGAGUAACGCGUAAUCAACCUGCCCUUCAGAGGGGGACAACAGUUGGAAACGACUGCUAAUACCGCAUACGAUCUAAUCUCGGCAUCGAGGAUAGAUGAAAGGUGGCCUCUACAUGUAAGCUAUCACUGAAGGAGGGGAUUGCGUCUGAUUAGCUAGUUGGAGGGGUAACGGCCCACCAAGGCGAUGAUCAGUAGGCGGUCUGAGAGGAUGAACGGCCACAUUGGGACUGAGACACGGCCCCGACUCCUAAGGGAGGCAGCAGUGGGGAAUCUUCCGCAAUGGACGAAAGUCUGACGGAGCAACGCCGCGUGAGUGAUGACGGCCUUCGGGUUGUAAAGCUCUGUUAAUCGGGACGAAAGGCCUUCUUGCGAAUAGUGAGAAGGAUUGACGGUACCGGAAUAGAAAGCCACGGCUAACUACGUG